UACAUACUCCCUCCGUUUGGAAUUACUUGUCUCGGAAAUGAAUGUAUCUAGACAUAUUUAAAAUAUUUCUAGAUACAUUCAUUUCCGAGACAAGUAAUUUCGAACGGAGGGAGUAGAUC
Molecule: non-coding RNA, 119 nt
Organism: Triticum aestivum (bread wheat)
Lineage: Eukaryota; Viridiplantae; Streptophyta; Magnoliopsida; Poales; Poaceae
Source: Rfam